RNAcentral lists this ribosomal RNA (400 nucleotides) under uncultured bacterium. Its description in RNAcentral is "bacterial SSU rRNA". It matches the Rfam family "Bacterial small subunit ribosomal RNA", at positions 123 to 518 of the family's 1533-position model. The record is from RNAcentral.
AACCUACCUAUCAGAGGGGAAUAACCCGGCGAAAGUCGGACUAAUACCGCAUAAAACAGGGGGCACCGCAUGGUGAUAUUUGUUAAAGAAAUUCGCUGAUAGAUGGGCAUGCGUUCCAUUAGGUAGUUGGUGAGGUAACGGCUCACCAGCCGACGAUGGAUAGGGGAACUGAGAGGUUGGUCCCCCACACUGGUACUGAGACACGGACCAGACUCCUACGGGAGGCAGCAGUGAGGAAUAUUGGUCAAUGGGCGGGAGCCUGAACCAGCCAAGUCGCGUGGAAAAGGAAGAAGGAUCUAUGGCUCGUAAACUUCUUUUGCAGGGGAAUAAAGUGCAGGACGUGUCCUGUUUUGUAUGUACCCUGAGAAUAAGGAUCGGCUAACUCCGUGCCAGCCGCCGC